AGGGCACCACCAGGAGUGGAGCCUGCGGCUUAAUUUGACUCAACACGGGAAAUCUCACCAGGCCCGGACACCGGAAGGAUUGACAGAUUGAGAGCUCUUUCUUGAUUCGGUGGGUGGUGGUGCAUGGCCGUUCUUAGUUGGUGGAGCGAUUUGUCUGGUUAAUUCCGAUAACGAACGAGACUCUGGCCUACUAACUAGACGUUAGAUCCCUUUGUGGGUCUAUCGCAGCUUCUUAGAGGGACGGGCGGCGUUUAGCCGCACGAGAUUGAGCAAUAACAGGUCUGUGAUGCCCUUAGAUGUUCUGGGCUGCACGCGCGCUACACUGAAGGAAUCAGCGUGUGUUCCCUGUCCGAAAGGGCUGGGAAACCCGUUGAACCUCCUUCGUGAUGGGGAUUGGGGAUUGCAAUUAUUCCCCAUGAACGAGGAAUUCCCAGUAGGCGCGAGUCAUAAGCUUGCGUCGAUUACGUCCCUGCCCUUUGUACACACCGCCCGUCGCUACUACCGAUCGAGUGAUUUAGU
Molecule: ribosomal RNA, 519 nt
Filed under: uncultured eukaryote
Lineage: Eukaryota
Description: SSU rRNA
Rfam family: Eukaryotic small subunit ribosomal RNA
Source: RNAcentral